ACGCUAGCUACAGGCUUAACACAUGCAAGUCGAGGGGCAGCAUUUCAGUUUGCUUGCAAACUGGAGAUGGCGACCGGCGCACGGGUGAGUAACACGUAUCCAACCUGCCGAUAACUCGGGGAUAGCCUUUCGAAAGAAAGAUUAAUACCCGAUGGUAUAAUCAGACCGCAUGGUCUUGUUAUUAAAGAAUUUCGGUUAUCGAUGGGGAUGCGUUCCAUUAGGCAGUUGGUGAGGUAACGGCUCACCAAACCUUCGAUGGAUAGGGGUUCUGAGAGGAAGGUCCCCCACAUUGGAACUGAGACACGGUCCAAACUCCUACGGGAGGCAGCAGUGAGGAAUAUUGGUCAAUGGGCGCAGGCCUGAACCAGCCAAGUAGCGUGAAGGAUGACUGCCCUAUGGGUUGUAAACUUCUUUUAUAUGGGAAUAAAGUUUUCCACGUGUGGAAUUUUGUAUGUACCAUAUGAAUAAGGAUCGGCUAACUCCGUGCCAGCAGCCGCGGUAAUACGGAGGAUCCGAGCGUUAUCCGGAUUUAUUGGGUUUAAAGGGAGCGUAGGUGGACAGUUAAGUCAGUUGUGAAAGUUUGCGGCUCAACCGUAAAAUUGCAGUUGAUACUGGCUGUCUUGAGUACAGUAGAGGUGGGCGGAAUUCGUGGUGUAGCGGUGAAAUGCUUAGAUAUCACGAAGAACUCCGAUUGCGAAGGCAGCUCACUGGACUGCAACUGACACUGAUGCUCGAAAGUGUGGGUAUCAAACAGGAUUAGAUACCCUGGUAGUCCACACAGUAAACGAUGAAUACUCGCUGUUUGCGAUAUACAGUAAGCGGCCAAGCGAAAGCAUUAAGUAUUCCACCUGGGGAGUACGCCGGCAACGGUGAAACUCAAAGGAAUUGACGGGGGCCCGCACAAGCGGAGGAACAUGUGGUUUAAUUCGAUGAUACGCGAGGAACCUUACCCGGGCUUAAAUUGCAUUUGAAUAUAUUGGAAACAGUAUAGCCGUAAGGCAAAUGUGAAGGUGCUGCAUGGUUGUCGUCAGCUCGUGCCGUGAGGUGUCGGCUUAAGUGCCAUAACGAGCGCAACCCUUAUCUUUAGUUACUAACAGGUCAUGCUGAGGACUCUAGAGAGACUGCCGUCGUAAGAUGUGAGGAAGGUGGGGAUGACGUCAAAUCAGCACGGCCCUUACGUCCGGGGCUACACACGUGUUACAAUGGGGGGUACAGAAGGCAGCUACCUGGUGACAGGAUGCUAAUCCCAAAAGCCUCUCUCAGUUCGGAUCGAAGUCUGCAACCCGACUUCGUGAAGCUGGAUUCGCUAGUAAUCGCGCAUCAGCCAUGGCGCGGCGAAUACGUUCCCGGGCCUUGUACACACCGCCCGUCAAGCCAUGAAAGCCGGGGGUACAUGAAGUACGUAACCGCAAGGAGCGUCCUAGGGUAAAC
RNAcentral lists this ribosomal RNA (1431 nucleotides) under uncultured organism. RNAcentral's name for it is "SSU rRNA". It matches the Rfam family "Bacterial small subunit ribosomal RNA". The record is from RNAcentral.